This is a long non-coding RNA of Manis pentadactyla (Chinese pangolin), 2645 nucleotides long. RefSeq lists it as uncharacterized. The transcript is spliced from 3 exons. Lineage: Eukaryota; Metazoa; Chordata; Mammalia; Pholidota; Manidae. The record is from RefSeq and is a predicted model, not a curated record.
CCGGGAGCACCGGCGGCGGCGGCUGCUGCUGCACUGGCUGCGUUCGGAACUGGGUGUCGGUGGCUGUGGUGGCGGCAAAGUAAAGAGGAUGGAGGGGGCGGUGAGGCUGGAGGCUGGUCAGAGAUCUCCUUCCGAGUCGCGUCCUCCCACGCGCCCCCUUCCAACACGAACACCCACGGCCCCUUGCUCCGCGACCGCGCCAAGAACGCAGCCUAAUUAGGGGUCCACUGUCUUCUUAAAGAGACAAGCUCGGCCUUGUGUAACGCCGAAACCCCUGUUGAGAGGAGAGGGAGGAUCACGCCGAAUCCACUCCGUUCGGUUCACAUCAAUUUUACGCGCCGCUGGAGCCGGCAUAAUUUUCCGUCUGAACGCGGGCUAGGGCCCUGUUCCUGUUUAGAGCUGAAGACAGAGCUGCCAGACGCUUACCGGAGCAGGGGCCGGGGCAAGAAGGCGUGGGGGAUUGAGGGGGCCCCCCUCCGAGCCCCAGGGAGCUGGCAUUGCCGUUUAACCCCAAAGCUGGACUGACUUCCCUCAGCUGUUAUCCCAGAAAGCUCCCCAAGACUGGGGUCCUGCCGGGGGUCGGGAGGGUGUAACCGUGGAGGCCCAGGAUCAAGGGUCGUCCGAUUCCCAAAGAAACUGCCCAGGGCCCACCCGUACCUCGCAGACUGUCAGUCUGUCCGGACUGAAGCAACGGCAACCGGUGCCGGCCCCCGGCACGGGGAGGAAAACGCCCCUACGCGUCCCGAGCUGCUUUCUCCUCCGGAUCAGAGGAAACUGCUUCUCUUUUUCCCGUCCUUUGGAGGAAUGUCAAGUUUGUCGCGAUUAAAACGGGCAGGGGGCCACGCUUGUCAAGAGAAGUGGUGGGUCGGCCGCCGCCCAGACAGGGGCUGGGAAGAAUAAGAUGGAGGAUUCUUCUGGGCAGAUGGCUGUUGGGCAGUUGAAAUGUGGCCAGUCCAAGAUGAGAUUGGGUCACAAACAUAGUGGGAUGUGGAGGGCUGUCUGGACCUCGCCAUGAAGUCAACAGAAUGGACCCAUAACCCUGACUCAACAUCAGUAGCUACAGAGGUGGCAAUUCUCAUUCUGCAAGAACCCUUGGUUGAAGAUAAGAAUCCCGUUUUCUUUUCGGCUGACUCACCCUGGUACCAAAUGGGGUGCUUUGGCUGAGUGUGUGAGAAUGACAAAGGUCUUAUCGGACUCCUGUCUUCAAUAGUCACACCUUACAUCAGCAAUAAUCCUGAAUGUCCGAGAGAGAUCCUGGACUUCUAACUAGUCUGCACAAUUAAUUAUCUGAAUAUUUUAAAGGAAUUUAUUCUGUGAUUUUUUAAAUCAUACUUUUAAAAUACACUGUUAAAAAAGACUCUCUCACUCAAGAAAAAGUUAUAUUAUGUUUAAUUCCUUGCAUCUAAAAGGGACCUUUAAGAGAUUUUUCUGUUCUAUUCCCCUGCCUUUAAGCAAACAAAGUAUUAUUAUCCACACUUUAAAGACUAAUCACCUGAGGCUCAGAAAAAGUCGCUUGCCUGAGGAUAUACAGCUUGUAAGUACUGAAGCAGAAAACUUCUAUCUUCUACCUCCUUAUUUUAAAACUAUAUAAAAUCCUUUUUCCACAAGUGGGUAUUAAUUAAAGUAUGUGAUUUAAACAGGACCCAACUCACCUGUGUGGUUUAUGCCUUUUCAAGCAGAUGUUUUAUUGCUGAAAUGGGGGUGAAGAUGACUGUGUUACCGUUGCCACUGGGCAAAACUUAAACCUGAGGAUUCCCAUGGCUGCAGUAAGCAAACUUGGCGCCCUGCUUUCCUCCAGCCCCCAACCUCAGAGUCUCUGAAAAUCUUGGUAAGCACAAUUCAAGAGCAAUGAACUUAAACAUGAACUGUGCAUAAGCACUAGUCCUUUCACUUUCCACAACAGCAGGGUUCACACCUAUUCAGGGGUGCCUGCCACGCUUUCACAUUGGCUAUCACAAUAGCCUGCAGGGCAGAUAUUACAGGAGAAAAGCUGUGUGCCUACUUUCUGAAAUGGGUGGCAUGGGAAUGGAGUAGGUGUAGGAAAGUAUAACUAGAUACUAUGUGCUUUGUACAAGAAAAUAUCUCAUCAAAGUCCAGUAUUAUUUUCACUGAAACUGGGACUCAACUCACAGCCUACCAUGAUCGGGUUAACCUCAGUUGGUCCCUUUAACCUUUCUGAUUUUGUCCAUAUGGUGUCUCAUCCAUGAAGUAUCAUCUCUAAACCUCUCCUCACUCAAUGCAAACAUUUGCAGCUCCUCAAAUGUUUUUAUUUUAUUAUUUGGGAGUUGGAUUGGUCAUAUAGAAUGAAUUUUGAUUCAGGAUCAUUUGCUAAGCUUAAUUGCUUUUUCUUUCCCUCUCACUAAUACUUCCAAAGAAAUGAACUUCUGGAAUGAAUAGUAUUUGGGGGAAGUAGAAGCAGACACAUUUUGUUGAAGAUUGAUUAGUUGUCACUUAAAGCAAUCUAAACUGUAAGGGUCUAUAAUCUUAAUGCUAGUAUGUAGGCUCCCACUGCUGUAAUUCAGUUCAGGAUUUGUUCUCAGUAUGACAUAGCCUGGAACAAUUCUGAUAAAUCACAUGACUUCCUUGAAUAGAAAUCCUAGUAAAAUGGUGUGAAUGAGCCAUCAUUCACAGUAUAAUAUCUGGUC